UACGUAGGAUGCAAGCGUUGUCCGGAAUUAUUGGGCGUAAAGAGCGCGCAGGCGGAUAUGACAAGUCAGAUGUUGAAAGAGGCCGGCUUAACCGGCGAAGGGUCAUUUGAAACUGUCAGACUAGAGUGCAGCAGAGGAUAGUGGAAUUCCCGGUGUAGUGGUAGAAAUGCGUAGAUAUCGGGGAGGAACACCAGUGGCGAAGGCGACUAUCUGGGCUGCAACUGACGCUGAGGCGCGAAAGCGUGGGGAGCAAACAGG
Molecule: ribosomal RNA, 258 nt
Filed under: uncultured bacterium
Lineage: Bacteria
Description: partial 16S ribosomal RNA
Rfam family: Bacterial small subunit ribosomal RNA
Source: RNAcentral